AACGAACGCUGGCGGCAGGCUUAACACAUGCAAGUCGAACGCCCCGCAAGGGGAGUGGCAGACGGGUGAGUAACGCGUGGGAACCUACCUCUUGGUGCGGAAUAACUCAGGGAAACUUGAGCUAAUACCGCAUGUGUCCUUCGGGAGAAAGAUUUAUCGCCAAGAGAUGGGCCCGCGUCGGAUUAGGUAGUUGGUGGGGUAACGGCCUACCAAGCCGACGAUCCGUAGCUGGUCUGAGAGGAUGAUCAGCCACACUGGGACUGAGACACGGCCCAGACUCCUACGGGAGGCAGCAGUGGGGAAUAUUGGACAAUGGGCGCAAGCCUGAUCCAGCCAUGCCGCGUGAGUGAUGAAGGCCUUAGGGUUGUAAAGCUCUUUCGCCGGUGAAGAUAAUGACGGUAACCGGAGAAGAAGCCCCGGCUAACUUCGUGCCAGCCGCCGCCGUAAAAC
This 450-nucleotide ribosomal RNA is filed under the name uncultured bacterium. RNAcentral's name for it is "bacterial SSU rRNA". It matches the Rfam family "Bacterial small subunit ribosomal RNA", at positions 29 to 526 of the family's 1533-position model. The record is from RNAcentral.